AGUGAACGCUGGCGGCAGGCCUAAUACAUGCAAGUCGAACGGCAGCACAGGGGAGCUUGCUCCCUGGGUGGCGAGUGGCGGACGGGUGAGGAAUACAUGGGAAUCUGCCCAGUCGUGGGGGAUAACGUAUGGAAACGUACGCUAAUACCGCAUGCGCCCUAAGGGGGGAAAGCCGGGGACCGCAAGGCCUGGCGCGAUUGGAUGAGCCCAUGUGCGAUUAGCUGGUUGGGGGGUAAAGGCCACCAAGGCGACGAUCGCUAGCUGGUCUGAGAGGAUGAUCAGCCACACUGGGACUGAGACACGGCCCAGACUCCUACGGGAGGCAGCAGUAGGGAAUAUUGGACAAUGGGGGCAACCCUGAUCCAGCCAUGCCGCGUGAGUGAAGAAGGCCCUCGGGUUGUAAAGCUCUUUUGUUGGGGAAGAAAGCAUUCGGUAAUACCGGGUGUCCUGACGGUACCCAAAGAAUAAGCACCGGCUAACUUCGUGCCAGCAGCCGCGGU
This 500-nucleotide ribosomal RNA is filed under the name uncultured bacterium. Its description in RNAcentral is "bacterial SSU rRNA". It matches the Rfam family "Bacterial small subunit ribosomal RNA", at positions 30 to 521 of the family's 1533-position model. The record is from RNAcentral.